Molecule: ribosomal RNA, 405 nt
Filed under: uncultured bacterium
Lineage: Bacteria
Description: bacterial SSU rRNA
Rfam family: Bacterial small subunit ribosomal RNA
Source: RNAcentral
UAGGGAAUAUUGGUUAAUCUGCGAAAGCGGGAACCAGCAACGCCGCGUGAACGAUGAAGGCCUUCGGGUUGUAAAGUUCUUUUGGCAGGGAAGAGGAAGGACGGUACCUGUCGAAUAAGUCUCGGCUAACUACGUGCCAGCAGCCGCGGUAACACGUAGGAGACGAGCGUUAUCCGGAUUUACUGGGUGUAAAGCGCGUGCAGGCGGAACGGCAAGUUGGAUGUGAAAGCUCCUGGCUUAACUGGGAGAGGUCGUACAAGACUGCCGAUCUAGAGGACAGCAGAGGGGAGUGGAAUUCCGAGUGUAGCGGUAAAAUGCAUAGAUAUUCGGAAGAACACCAGUGGCGAAAGCGGCUCUCUGGGCUGUAACUGACGCUCAGACGCGAAAGCUAGGGUAGCAAACGGG